Molecule: long non-coding RNA, 464 nt
Filed under: Bos taurus (domestic cattle)
Lineage: Eukaryota; Metazoa; Chordata; Mammalia; Artiodactyla; Bovidae
Description: long non-coding RNA NONBTAT018694
Source: RNAcentral
UAAUUUUACUUCAUUCAUCAUAUUCUGGUAUUUCCCAAAUCAUGUUCAACACUGCUGCUUCUGGCAAGUGUUCAUUGUGGUCUGAGAAUAAAUGAUCCUAGACCAUAGACCUCACUCCUUGGACAUUGUUAAUUAAUGUUAGUGCUUUAAUGAAGCUUAAAGUUUUGAAUCAAGAAAAAACAGUUUUCUAAACACAUCUUGAAGAAACUUUAGAAAAGUUUUGUUUUACAUAUCUUUCAGCAACUUCAAAUAAUAUAACCAGGAAUUCUUUGAAAAAGAUGCUUCUGGUUUUUUGUUUUAACCCUAAGGAAAACUUAUGCCACUUUAAAUGAAUCUACUUUAAAGUUAAUUAGUAUAUCUUAGUGAAUUUUAUCACCUAAUAUAUUCAAAACAGUAAAAUUGUUUCACCGCUUGUUAGAAAUUAUAUGAAAAACAUUUCAGUUAAACCCAAGAAAAAUGUGCUA